RNAcentral lists this transfer RNA (95 nucleotides) under Pseudomonadota bacterium. RNAcentral's name for it is "tRNA-Sec". It matches the Rfam family "Selenocysteine transfer RNA". RNAcentral also lists the same sequence under 1 other name. Lineage: Bacteria; Pseudomonadati; Pseudomonadota. The record is from RNAcentral.
GGAGGCGGAAUGGGGCCGGUGCCCCUCCUGGUCUUCAAAACCAGCGUCCCGGCCAAAAGCUGGGAGGUGGGUUCGACUCCCACACGCCUCCGCCA